CGUUUGCCAAUAAGCAGUGAUCAGUUUCUUUUGUUUGUUUUUCUAUUGUUUACCUACUAUAUAAGAUGAUGACUUACCUCCAAAACGCUUUAAAACUUUCGUUUAUAAUUCUAAGUGUGUUUAUAAUUAAAGAGCAGUGAAAUAAAAUGAAUUCUUCAAGAAAGGCAGCACCCAUGACAAAAGAUGAGACGAUGAUUCUAGCAGAACUUGUGGCGGCGAAAAAACAUUUCAAUAAUAAGGCAACAAAUGCCACAAACAAUAAAUUGAAGGAGCAGGCUUGGCAAACCCUUGUAAAUGAUUUUAAUUCGUCGAUUCGUCGUUUCCCACGAACUCCAUCGCAGCUUCGACUAAAAUGGGAAAACUUAAAGAACGCUACGGCAACAUAAGAAACAACCUUAUAAGUAAGGCUGGAGGUGGUAAGGAUUGCAGAUGAAAUUUUGGAUAAAGCAUGCACAUUGUUGUAGGUCACAUAUAAUAUUUUUAACACUUUUACAGCCAAGCGGAAACAAGAUGGAAGAAAAGAAAUGCAAGGCUAGCAUAGGGACAAUGCAUUAGCAGAAUAUCUAAUAGCAAAAAAGGGACUUGACUUGGAAAAUAAAGAAAAGGAGAUUGUUGUAGCAAAAGUUAAGUUAGAUUUAGAUAAUUUAAAAAAUUAUAAAUUACUUAAAAGGAAUAUUAAAUUUCAUAAAUUAAGUAGGCAAUAAUAAUUUUAUGUUAGAUAGUUUUUUAAGUAUAUGUACAAAUUCUAAAUUAAAUAUCUUGCAUGUACUAACUACCAUGUAAUUAUCAUUUUGGAAAAAAAAAAAUAGUCAAAUUAU
Molecule: long non-coding RNA, 818 nt
Organism: Bombyx mori (domestic silkworm)
Lineage: Eukaryota; Metazoa; Arthropoda; Insecta; Lepidoptera; Bombycidae
Exons: 3
Source: RefSeq, a predicted model, not a curated record